GCCCCUCUAGCUCAGUCGGCAGAGCGCACGGCUUUUAACCGUGUGGUCGCGGGUUCGAGCCCCGCGGGGGGUG
Transfer RNA from Guillardia theta CCMP2712, 73 nucleotides. It matches the Rfam family "tRNA". From Rfam's summary of the family: Transfer RNA (tRNA) molecules are approximately 80 nucleotides in length. Their secondary structure includes four short double-helical elements and three loops (D, anti-codon, and T loops). The record is from Rfam. NCBI's taxonomy places the organism in Eukaryota, Cryptophyceae, Pyrenomonadales, Geminigeraceae.